CGAGCUUCGGGUCGGGGAGACCGGCGAACGGGUGAGUAACACGUGAGGAACCUGCCCUGUAGGCCGGAAUAACCACGGGAAACUGUGGCUAAUGCCGGAUGGUCUCGGAUGACCGCAUGGACGUCCGAGGAAAUGGUCUGCCGCUACAGGAUGGCCUCGCGGCCUAUCAGCUAGUUGGUGAGGUAACGGCUCACCAAGGCGACGACGGGUAGCUGGCGUGAGAGCGCGAUCAGCCACACUGGGACCGAGACACGGCCCAGACUCCUACGGGAGGCAGCAGUGGGGAAUCCUGCGCAAUGGGCGAAAGCCUGACGCAGCGACGCCGCGUGAGGGAUGACGGCCUUCGGGUUGUAAACCUCUUUCAGCUCCGACGAAGCGGAAGUGACGGUAGGAGCAGAAGAAGCACCGGCCAACUACGUGCCAGCAGCCGCGGUAAUACGUAGGGUGCAAGCGUUGUCCGGAAUUAUUGGGCGUAAAGAGCUCGUAGGCGGUCUGUCGCGUCGGCUGUGAAAACUCGGGGCUCAACUCCGAGCUUGCAGUCGAUACGGGCAGGCUAGAGUUCGGCAGGGGAGACUGGAAUUCCUGGUGUAGCGGUGAAAUGCGCAGAUAUCAGGAGGAACACCGGUGGCGAGGGCGGGUCUCUGGGCCGAUACUGACGCUGAGGAGCGAAAGCGUGGGGAGCGAACAGGAUUAGAUACCCUGGUAGUCCACGCCGUAAACGUUGGGCGCUAGGUGUGGGAUCCCUUCCACGGGUUCCGUGCCGCAGCUAACGCAUUAAGCGCCCCGCCUGGGGAGUACGGCCGCAAGGCUAAAACUCAAAGGAAUUGACGGGGGCCCGCACAAGCGGCGGAGCAUGUGGAUUAAUUCGAUGCAACGCGAAGAACCUUACCUGGGUUUGACAUACACCGGAAA
RNAcentral lists this ribosomal RNA (912 nucleotides) under uncultured bacterium. RNAcentral describes it as "bacterial SSU rRNA". It matches the Rfam family "Bacterial small subunit ribosomal RNA", at positions 74 to 996 of the family's 1533-position model. The record is from RNAcentral.